UACGAAGGGUGCAAACGUUGCUCGGAAUUAUUGGGCGUAAAGCGCACGUAGGCGGUAUUGCAAGUCGGAUGUGAAAUCCCUCGGCUCAACCAAGGAAGUGCAUCCGAAACUGCCGUACUUGAGUACUUAAGAGGAUCGCGGAAUUCCCGGUGUAGAGGUGAAAUUCGUAGAUAUUCGGAGGAACACCAGUGGCGAAGGCGACUGCCUGGACGAACAUUGACGCUGAGGUGCGAAAGCGUGGGGAGCAAACAGG
This 253-nucleotide ribosomal RNA is filed under the name uncultured bacterium. Its description in RNAcentral is "partial 16S ribosomal RNA". It matches the Rfam family "Bacterial small subunit ribosomal RNA", at positions 524 to 776 of the family's 1533-position model. The record is from RNAcentral.